Molecule: ribosomal RNA, 271 nt
Filed under: uncultured beta proteobacterium sewCLONE5
Lineage: Bacteria; Pseudomonadati; Pseudomonadota; Betaproteobacteria
Description: partial 16S ribosomal RNA
Rfam family: Bacterial small subunit ribosomal RNA
Source: RNAcentral
GGGGACCGCAAGGCCUUGCGCUCAUGGAGCGGCCGAUGGCAGAUUAGGUAGUUGGUGGGAUAAAAGCUUACCAAGCCGACGAUCUGUAGCUGGUCUGAGAGGACGACCAGCCACACUGGGACUGAGACACGGCCCAGACUCCUACGGGAGGCAGCAGUGGGGAAUUUUGGACAAUGGGGGAAACCCUGAUCCAGCCAUGCCGCGUGCAGGAUCAAGGCCUUCGGGUUGUAAACUGCUUUUGUACGGAACGAAAAGGUCUUUUCUAAUAAAG